Oryza brachyantha (malo sina) is the source of this 523-nucleotide long non-coding RNA. RefSeq lists it as uncharacterized. The transcript is spliced from 3 exons. The record is from RefSeq and is a predicted model, not a curated record. NCBI's taxonomy places the organism in Eukaryota, Viridiplantae, Streptophyta, Magnoliopsida, Poales, Poaceae.
CACCGACAUGCUUCUCUGCAACAAUCAAAUAAGAGUUCUUUUAGGUUUGCGUAGAGUUCAGAGUGAUAAACGAGUGUCCUAUGGUACAGUGCAAACUAGGUGAUUCAGGGAGAAAAAAAAACAAAGCCAUGCUCAACCUGCAGAAGCAGAAUGGUGCUCUUGUGUGGCUGAGUUGUUUUGUACAAUCGGUCAACAGAAAGACAUUUCUUUAAGAUAGACAAUGGUACCCUUAAUUUGUUGUACCUGUGGUGCCCUUCAUAAUUAAUAUACUAUGCUCUUGUAUAGUACAUGUGUUCUCUUGUUCCCUUCACAAUUAUUCUGUACGUCUAUGCACAUUAUGAUACUGCAAGUUUUUCAGUGACCCAUUUUUCAUCCUUUCAAUGUUCUAUUGUAAGAAAGCUUAGGCGAACAUGACACAUAGAGGGUUGAAAUUAUGAGAACAAUACUUGUACGGUUGUUUUUUCCCCUUCAAUAUGCUUUUGGUCUAAAAAAGACAGUUAUGGCUGGACUGUUGGAUAUGAUG